Molecule: long non-coding RNA, 2330 nt
Organism: Schistocerca cancellata (South American locust)
Lineage: Eukaryota; Metazoa; Arthropoda; Insecta; Orthoptera; Acrididae
Exons: 4
Source: RefSeq, a predicted model, not a curated record
AGUGAGAAGAAACCAGGUUUGGUUAGGAAGGAUUGUGUGGGUAGCUUAAAAUACGAUUUUCUUGAAUUUUGAAUCGAAACUAAUCAUCAUAUCGUUUAAUACAGGAUAUCAAAUCGAAUAAUUUUUCUACAAGAAAUUACAGCAGCAGUGUUUCCAACAGAUAGAUGAACUACACAAUUUUCCGAAGUUUUCUGACGUAAAUCCAGGUCUUCAUUGUUUACGUGAUUACAAUGUUAAAGUUGUGAGUGCCUGCAGUUGUGAAACUGGUUGAAACAUGUAGAACAGCCUGCAAAGACAUUCGUUCCCAAUGCAAAACGUCCAGCGCUCUAAUUAGUACCCGCCUUUCAAUAUAUCAGGUUAGAUUUGUAUAUACUAAACGAACAUAACUGACCAAAAAGUAGGGUUAAAGGCUACACUUUUAUUAUUUUGAUACUCAGAAUGCAGAACUCAGCAUGUAAUGGAGCUACAUGAAUAUGUCAUGUAAUGAAGCUGUGCUUAAAAACUUCUUUCACACACUUUUAUGACUUGAAGUAUAAGAACAUGGAAGCCUACAUGGCAAGCAAGUGGAUGGAGCACCACUGCACUGGCACCAUCUUGUAAGAGUAUUUCAUCGUCCUACAUGCUUCCCCUUCCAACAUCUUUGGGUGAACUGCGACGCCACAUAGCAGAAUCAGUGAAUGCAGUAAAUCGAGACAUAUACACCAAGUAAAGAAUUUGUUUAUCGGCUGGAUGCUUUUCAUGCAUCAGGUGGAGGGCACACUGGAAUUUGUGAAAAAUAAAUGAAAACUUCAAUUCUAAAUAUAAUUUUGAGAAAGUAACAAGUAUGUAUAUGAAGGUAUAUGAAAGAAGUAACAAGUAUGUAUAUGAAGGUAUAUGAAAGAGGUACCUACGUACAUUGGAUGGUUAUUUUGAAAAUAAAAACUUAAGUUCAACGUCUGCUGAUGUGAGAGGGAUGGAAAAUGUUUCUAAAAGAAAAAUAUGGGAGUUAUUGCUGGGAUCUGCACACCAUUUUACACAGAACUUUAUUUACCAUGACUGUAAUUAAGGUGUUUACAAUAUCAAACAGUUACAGUAAAUUCCUUGCCUUUUCUCUUAGUAACAUGUUUCUGUGUCAACUUUCUCCAUAAAUAAUUUAAAUAUAGAAUUAGACCUUGUGUGCUUGUUACCUUUGUGAAAUUGCAAUUUUAUAUGUGGUAUUUGUUCUUUAUAACAUGUCCAAAAGAACAGACACUAAAAAUAUAAUGGUACUAUAUAUAACUUGAUGAUAUCUUCAGUGUGGAUGUACCUUUUAAUGGAAUCGUGCGAGAUGCUAUGAGCAAUGAGGAUUGUGGACAAAGGGCACUACGAAGUAGUGUGAAGUUGAGAAUAUGGGUUGGACGGGAAGCAUUUCCAGAUAGCCGAAGCGGGUCAGGUGACUGCUUGCAUAAAGCAAGAAAUCUAACUUCAAUCCUGGUCCGGCACAAAUUUGCACUGAAUUAUUUCAAUGUGCUCGUCUGGCUGACAUCAGUAUCUCUCUUUCAUCAUGUAAUUAUAUAACUGCUAUUUUAUCAUUUUUCACAAGCUGAAAGACUGAGGAUGCGCACCAUUCCUUAUACACAUGCCUUUAACGUUUUUAACAACUAUCUAGGAACUCAGUGUUUUUCUUUUUUUUAUAUAUAUUUCAGAUCAGUUCAGUUCAAUUAGAAUUUGAAUCUUUAAUAAAGGUGAUAAAUGAGAACAUGCCUUCAGCAGCUGGAGAAAGUCUGAUGCUCUUUUCACAAUGCAAGGCAUGUACAUCUCUCGAAAAUAUAAGCAAGCCUUUUAAACCACAAUUACAAAGUAUAACAAAAAACAACAAAUUUCUACUUUCUGCCAGUAAGAUUUUGCUUUUUAGUCACAUGCAAUGUCAGCCUGAAAACAUUACAUAAUGCACAAUCUUAUUUCUUUAUAUCAUCAUCAUUUUAUUGGCAAUUAACAAGGAAGAUCGACAUAGGUUAACAAGUGCCUCUGCAGAGAUUAGUGUCACUACUUGCUGAUGUGAGAGUCAAAAGAUUCAAUUCCUAGUAACUGAACUACAUUUUCCUGCUAUGGGAAAGUGUGGAUUGGGAUCUGCCAUCUUUGAAAGAGCAAAAGAGAAGCUGCUUGAGAAAUGCAAGAAAUGUAACUGUUGUGCAAGCUGUUUAAGAUGUGUCAAAUAAAAGGAUUGGAAGCAACAUACUUUUAUUGCAUACUGAUGGCUACCAAUAAGAACCCAUAGACGGGCGUACGUCUCAAACUGUAAUGUUGCAGUGAGGUACUCAUAAUUUAAUCUUCAUAUUACAGAGUAAAGUUGAAAUAUUAAUGCAGACUUU